RNAcentral lists this ribosomal RNA (852 nucleotides) under Staphylococcus sp. HMSC074C02. Its description in RNAcentral is "bacterial LSU rRNA". It matches the Rfam family "Bacterial large subunit ribosomal RNA", at positions 1466 to 2316 of the family's 2925-position model. The record is from RNAcentral. Lineage: Bacteria; Bacillati; Bacillota; Bacilli; Caryophanales; Staphylococcaceae.
GGGGGGACGCAGUAGGAUAGGCGAAGCGUACGAUUGGAUUGUACGUCUAAGCAGUGAGAUUGAGUGUUAGGCAAAUCCGGCACUCUUAAGAUUGAGCUGUGAUGGGGAGAGGAAAUUGUUUCCUCGAGUCGUUGAUUUCACACUGCCGAGAAAAGCCUCUAGAUAGAUAAUAGGUGCCCGUACCGCAAACCGACACAGGUAGUCAAGAUGAGAAUUCUAAGGUGAGCGAGCGAACUCUCGUUAAGGAACUCGGCAAAAUGACCCCGUAACUUCGGGAGAAGGGGUGCUCUUUAGGGUGCAAGCCCAGAAGAGCCGCAGUGAAUAGGCCCAAGCGACUGUUUAUCAAAAACACAGGUCUCUGCUAAACCGUAAGGUGAUGUAUAGGGGCUGACGCCUGCCCGGUGCUGGAAGGUUAAGAGGAGUGGUUAGCUUCUGCGAAGCUACGAAUCGAAGCCCCAGUAAACGGCGGCCGUAACUAUAACGGUCCUAAGGUAGCGAAAUUCCUUGUCGGGUAAGUUCCGACCCGCACGAAAGGCGUAACGAUUUGGGCACUGUCUCAACGAGAGACUCGGUGAAAUCAUAGUACCUGUGAAGAUGCAGGUUACCCGCGACAGGACGGAAAGACCCCGUGGAGCUUUACUGUAGCCUGAUAUUGAAAUUCGGCACAGCUUGUACAGGAUAGGUAGGAGCCUUUGAAACGUGAGCGCUAGCUUACGUGGAGGCGUUGGUGGGAUACUACCCUAGCUGUGUUGGCUUUCUAACCCGCACCACUUAUCGUGGUGGGAGACAGUGUCAGGCGGGCAGUUUGACUGGGGCGGUCGCCUCCUAAAAGGUAACGGAGGCGCUCAAAGG